This is a long non-coding RNA of Lolium rigidum, 654 nucleotides long. RefSeq lists it as uncharacterized. The transcript has 3 exons. NCBI's taxonomy places the organism in Eukaryota, Viridiplantae, Streptophyta, Magnoliopsida, Poales, Poaceae. The record is from RefSeq and is a predicted model, not a curated record.
GGCGGCAUCAAGCGGUAUGUGCUCCGCUCGGGUUCGGCGACUGUGUCGAUAGCGACUGCCUCGCCCUGCAAGGUGCUCCUGGUUAUGGUGAUUCUACAUAAUGAUCUUAGGAUCUGUUUUCAGACUGUUCUUCUUUAGGUUCAGGUCUGUACAUGCAUCUUAUGCUGGAUAUAUUCUGCAGCUCUGCUUAUGGAUUCUCAGUUUCCAGGUUCGUUCCAUGUGUUGUCCAUUUAUAAUUUGGCAUCGGCUGCUGUUUCAUAUGGUUGACAGGUAUGAUACCAGUAGAUAAGAUACUUGAUAGCGAUGUGUGGCAGAUUGUUGCGCCCUCUUUCUGUCAUCAAUAUCAUGUUGCUGCUGCUUCUGCUCCAAUGGCUGCAGCCCAGACUCGCCUACAAAGCAGGUAAAUUUUCUGAUAUUUUAGCUUCUAAAUUUUCUCUUUCUUAGUGCAUUAGUGGUUCAGAUUUGAAUCUCAGUUGCACAUAUAUUAAUAUGUAUGUUCUUUGAUGGGACUUCGUGCUAUACCACCAAUAAUAUUUUAUCUCCCAUUACCUUCUCAACUGAAGAAAGAUCCCGAUCUUUCAUUUGAGAUGAUCAUCAUCUCUGAAGCAUGAAGAAACAUCCAAGAAAUUUUAUGUAUCUUGACAGUUUUGCAAU